CCGUUUAAAGCCGGAGGAAGGUGGGGAUGACGUCAAGUCAGCAUGGCCUUUAUGUCCUGGGCUACACACACGCUACAAUGGCCAACACAAUAGGUUGCUAAGCCGCGAGGUGGAGCCAAUCCUCAAAGUUGGUCUCAGUUCAGAUUGCAGGCUGCAACCCGCCUGCAUGAAGAUGGAGUUGCUAGUAACCGCAGGUCAGCUAUACUGCGGUGAAUACGUUCCCGGGGCUU
This 230-nucleotide ribosomal RNA is filed under the name uncultured Leptolinea sp. RNAcentral describes it as "partial 16S ribosomal RNA". It matches the Rfam family "Bacterial small subunit ribosomal RNA", at positions 1153 to 1382 of the family's 1533-position model. Lineage: Bacteria; Bacillati; Chloroflexota; Anaerolineae; Anaerolineales; Anaerolineaceae. The record is from RNAcentral.